Molecule: ribosomal RNA, 461 nt
Filed under: uncultured Bacteroidota bacterium
Lineage: Bacteria; Pseudomonadati; Bacteroidota
Description: bacterial SSU rRNA
Rfam family: Bacterial small subunit ribosomal RNA
Source: RNAcentral
CCUACGGGGGGCUGCAGUAAGGAAUAUUGGACAAUGGUCGGAAGACUGAUCCAGCCAUGCCGCGUGAAGGAAGAAGGCGCUCAGCGUUGUAAACUUCUUUUGGACGGGAAUAAUAACCUCCACGAGUUGGGGGCUUGAAGGUACCGUCAGAAUAAGCACCGGCUAACUCCGUGCCAGCAGCCGCGGUAAUACGGAGGGUGCAAGCGUUAUCCGGAAUCACUGGGUUUAAAGGGUGCGUAGGCGGCCCGAUAAGUCAGUUGUGAAAUAUCCUCGCUUAACGAGGGGACUGCGAUUGAUACUGUCAGGCUUGAAUUGGGUUGAGGCAGGCGGAAUGUGGCAUGUAGCGGUGAAAUGCAUAGAUAUGCCAUAGAACACCGAUUGCGAAGGCAGCCUGCUGGGCCUUGAUUGACGCUGAGGCACGAAAGCGUGGGGAGCAAACAGGAUUAGAUACCCGUGUAGUC